GGGUGAGGUGGCCUGGAGGGCGAUGUCAUGGAUGACCUCAUGAGGCAGAUGAGGUCAUGGAUGACAUUAGGAGGAGUGUGAGGUGUCCAGGCUCGCCACAUGUCACACAUGCAAGUAAAAGAGGUGUCCUGCUCCGCCACGUGUCAUGCAUGCAAGCAAAAGAGGUGUCCUGCUCCGCCACGUGUCACGCAUGCAAAGGAGUGAGGUGGCCGGGAUGUGGGUCCCACAUACAGUAUGUGGAUCUCAUAAAUGCAGGACGUGGGUCCCACAUACAGUAUGUGGGUCCCACAUACAGUGUGUGGGUCCCACAUAGGGGAGGAAGUCCUAGUCAUACUAGGAUCAUAAUUGAUUUUAAUCCAAUUUGACUCAAGCCAAAUCUGAUUUGGUUGGGGGCAAAUUAGACAUUUUCACCAAACCAAUUUUGGUAUCAAUUACAGUUUUACCAAUUUCAAAUCAUAUUUGAAUUUGGUCAAGCCCAAUCUCUAUUACUCAAUCAAAUUGAGUCUAAUCAGUGAUCCAAUCACCAAUUAACUUCUCCAAGCAACAAUUGCUUAGGGCAAUCAGUCAAUCACAUUGACUAUUUUACCUCUAGAUGAUUCUCAAUCGUCAAUCAGCCAUUUGAUCAAUCCAGAAACUUCUAAGCGUGUGACCUCACAGGUUCGAACCUAAGCCGGUAGUACAAGAACACUUCCUGCACUAAUCGAAGUAACUAUCUAGCAAUGGGACCCGACGACCGGAUAGGCCGAAUAGAUGCAAAGCAACAUUCUAGAACCUAUGGACUAUGGUUACCGCAUAAU
Molecule: long non-coding RNA, 797 nt
Filed under: Phoenix dactylifera (date palm)
Lineage: Eukaryota; Viridiplantae; Streptophyta; Magnoliopsida; Arecales; Arecaceae
Description: long non-coding RNA (PDAC_LNC009084)
Source: RNAcentral